AUUACAGCUCUUAAACAUACUGUGUCUCACUGUGCACCUUGUUUGGAAUACUAAACAACUCAUCUAAAUUCCAAAUUAUUCUCUUUUAUAUAUUAAGUGAAGUGAUCUUGAAAAAGACUAUAUAAAAUUUGCCAUGAGAUACUCUAAAGCUAGCUGUUUAAAAGAAUACUGCUCUAAAUCCUUUUGUAAAGUUUAAGAUACUUUGCUUAAAAAGGUAGUCAACUGCUAAUUUUUAUGUACUCUAGAUGAUCUGACAGAGCUCCCCAUAUUUAAGUGUUGACUAAAUGAUCUCUUUUCCAAUCUUAGGCUUCUAGGAUCAAAGAAUCUACAUACCUGGCAGAAAUAAUAAUUUAUUUUAUAGUUUCUUAAUGUUACGAUUAUAAACCCUAUUCAACUAAAAUUCUGCAAACACAUGUGCCAUAUUUUAUUGAUAAUAAACGUCCCCACAAAUACACAAACAUUUUAACAGCUCUGAAACUGGGUUACAUCUAGGAAUAUAUCUAAUGUAUACAACUAUUAGGCUUUUUUCGCCUUAAUGGUACAUAAAAUAAUGGCAUAUAUUACAUCUAAUAGCACCUUGCAGUCAGUAAAAUAAGGUAAAAUUUAUAUAAUUCAACAGAAAGAAACAAUCUUUUCUUUGGGCUGGUUAAUUACUCCCUUGACCGGGCAAGAUGAUGGCUCAGAAUUCUGACUGAACUACAUUAGAAUAAUUGAGCUUUCAUCAAGUAGUCAUUUGAUAAAGUAUAUAAUCACAAUUCUCAAUAGGGACUGCUACUAUGACAACCGUUGGUAUGGUAGAAAAUCUAGAAGGAAAUCUCAGAAUGACAAACUUCCAUUGCCAGGACUGUCCAUGCCUAGUUGUCUCCAAGGCAAGAUGGCUUGACCUGGCCUACUGGAGGAAGGAGGCUCACGGCUUAGUCUGGGGAGCAGAGAGUGGAAGAGAGGAUCUGAGAACAGAGACAGCUCCUUCAAGGUACACCCCUGUGAAGCCUCUUUCGACCAGACCCCACCUUCUACCUGCAAGUCAGCUAUAAUCCAGUCUCCUUCCAAAAAUUUCCCCUAUGAGCACAUGAGGCUCUUAAGGGCUACCUAAAUAUAAAGUGUAACAGUA
This is a long non-coding RNA of Chinchilla lanigera (long-tailed chinchilla), 1111 nucleotides long. RefSeq lists it as uncharacterized. The transcript is spliced from 2 exons. The record is from RefSeq and is a predicted model, not a curated record. Lineage: Eukaryota; Metazoa; Chordata; Mammalia; Rodentia; Chinchillidae.